This 425-nucleotide ribosomal RNA is filed under the name uncultured bacterium. RNAcentral describes it as "partial 16S ribosomal RNA". It matches the Rfam family "Bacterial small subunit ribosomal RNA", at positions 354 to 796 of the family's 1533-position model. The record is from RNAcentral.
GUGGGGAAUCUUGCGCAAUGGGCGAAAGCCUGACGCAGCCAUGCCGCGUGAAUGAUGAAGGUCUUAGGAUUGUAAAAUUCUUUCACCGGGGACGAUAAUGACGGUACCCGGAGAAGAAGCCCCGGCUAACUUCGUGCCAGCAGCCGCGGUAAUACGAAGGGGGCUAGCGUUGCUCGGAAUUACUGGGCGUAAAGGGCGCGUAGGCGGACAGUUUAGUCAGAGGUGAAAGCCCAGGGCUCAACCUUGGAAUUGCCUUUGAUACUGGCUGUCUUGAGUACGGGAGAGGUGAGUGGAACUCCGAGUGUAGAGGUGAAAUUCGUAGAUAUUCGGAAGAACACCAGUGGCGAAGGCGACUCACUGGCCCGUUACUGACGCUGAGGCGCGAAAGCGUGGGGAGCAAAAGGGAUUAGAAACCCUGGUAGUCC